RNAcentral lists this ribosomal RNA (484 nucleotides) under uncultured bacterium. Its description in RNAcentral is "partial 16S ribosomal RNA". It matches the Rfam family "Bacterial small subunit ribosomal RNA", at positions 29 to 523 of the family's 1533-position model. The record is from RNAcentral.
AGUGAACGCUGGCGGCGUGCUUAACACAUGCAAGUCGAACGAGAACGGAUUAUAGCUUGCUAUAAUUGUCAGCUAAGUGGCGCACGGGUGAGUAAUGUAUAGGUAAUAUGCCUCUUACUAAGGGAUAACAAAUGGAAACGUUUGCUAAUACCUUAUACUCCUUAUUAACAGAAGUUAAUAAGGGAAAGAUUUAUUGGUAAGAGAUUAGCCUGUAUUGUAUCAGUUAGUUGGUGGGGUAAUGGCUUACCAAGACUAUGACACAUAACUGGUUUGAGAGGAUGAUCAGUCACACUGGAACUGAGACACGGUCCAGACUCCUACGGGAGGCAGCAGUGGGGAAUAUUGCACAAUGGACGGAAGUUUGAUGCAGCGACGCCGCGUGGAGGAUGACACAUUUCGGUGCGUAAACUCCUUUUAUAUGAGAAGAUAAUGACGGUAUUAUAUGAAUAAGCACCGGCUAACUCCGUGCCAGCCGCCGCGGUAA